UGGCGCACGGGUGCGUAACGCGUGGGAAUCUGCCCCUUGGUUCGGAAUAACAGUUAGAAAUGACUGCUAAUACCGGAUGACGACGUAAGUCCAAAGAUUUAUCGCCGAGGGAUGAGCCCGCGUAGGAUUAGCUAGUUGGUGUGGUAAAGGCGCACCAAGGCGACGAUCCUUAGCUGGUCUGAGAGGAUGAUCAGCCACACUGGGACUGAGACACGGCCCAG
RNAcentral lists this ribosomal RNA (221 nucleotides) under uncultured bacterium. RNAcentral's name for it is "partial 16S ribosomal RNA". It matches the Rfam family "Bacterial small subunit ribosomal RNA", at positions 96 to 334 of the family's 1533-position model. The record is from RNAcentral.